This 301-nucleotide ribosomal RNA is filed under the name uncultured bacterium. RNAcentral's name for it is "partial 16S ribosomal RNA". It matches the Rfam family "Bacterial small subunit ribosomal RNA", at positions 509 to 808 of the family's 1533-position model. The record is from RNAcentral.
CAGCAGCCGCGGUAAUACGAAGGGUGCAAGCGUUAAUCGGAAUUACUGGGCGUAAAGCGUGCGUAGGCGGUUUGUUAAGUCUGUUGUGAAAUCCCCGGGCUCAACCUGGGAAUGGCAAUGGAUACUGGCAAGCUAGAGUGUGUCAGAGGAUGGUGGAAUUCCCGGUGUAGCGGUGAAAUGCGUAGAGAUCGGGAGGAACAUCAGUGGCGAAGGCGGCCAUCUGGGACAACACUGACGCUGAGGCACGAAAGCGUGGGGAGCAAACAGGAUUAGAUACCCCGUAGUCCCUGUCUCUUAUACA